Molecule: ribosomal RNA, 444 nt
Filed under: Triticum aestivum (bread wheat)
Lineage: Eukaryota; Viridiplantae; Streptophyta; Magnoliopsida; Poales; Poaceae
Description: partial small subunit ribosomal RNA
Source: RNAcentral
AUGCUGCGGGCUGGCGUCAAGUUCGAUCCCACGGAUCAGGAGCUGAUUGAUCACCUUGAGGCCAAAGUGAGUGUUGACAGUGCGAUAUCUCACCCUCUCAUCGAGUUGUUCAUACCAACCAUCGACAGCGAGCACGGCAUAUGCUACACCCAUCCUGAGAAACUUCCAGGGCAUUCAAAUGGGGCACGUGGACGCGUCGCAAGAUAUGCGAUGUGGCACAACACCGGCAAUACCUUGCCGGUGAUAGUCAACGGCCGGCAGACCGGCAGCAAAAAGGUUCUGGUGCUCCACACCAACAAGAACUUCGACCAGCAGAGGACCAACUGGGUGAUGCACCAGUACCACCUUGGGGACCUGGAGCAAGAGAAGGAGCGGGAGCUGGUCCUCUGCAAGAUUUUAUACCAGACAAACACUAGGGCCAGGAGUAAAAAGAUUAUAACUUAG